UCCAGCCAUACUGCUCUGAGUGCUUCUGAUCUCAUCUGAUCUCAUAAGUUAAUCAGGGUCAGUCCUUGUGAGUACAUGGAUGGGAGACAGUUGAUAGAUCCUAGGGAAAGAAGAGUAUGAUUCUGGGC
Cricetulus griseus (Chinese hamster) is the source of this 128-nucleotide ribosomal RNA. The record is from Ensembl. Lineage: Eukaryota; Metazoa; Chordata; Mammalia; Rodentia; Cricetidae.